AUUGAACGCUGGCGGCAUGCCUUACACAUGCAAGUCGAACGGCAGCAUGAUCUAGCUUGCUAGAUUGAUGGCGAGUGGCGAACGGGUGAGUAAUACAUCGGAACGUGCCCUGUAGUGGGGGAUAACUAGUCGAAAGAUUAGCUAAUACCGCAUACGACCUGAGGGUGAAAGUGGGGGACCGCAAGGCCUCAUGCUAUAGGAGCGGCCGAUGUCUGAUUAGCUAGUUGGUGAGGUAAAGGCUCACCAAGGCGACGAUCAGUAGCUGGUCUGAGAGGACGAUCAGCCACACGGGGACUGAGACACGGCCCAGACUCCUACGGGAGGCAGCAGUGGGGAAUUUUGGACAAUGGGCGAAAGCCUGAUCCAGCAAUGCCGCGUGUGUGAAGAAGGCCUUCGGGUUGUAAAGCACUUUUGUCCGGAAAGAAAUGGCUCUGGUUAAUACCUGGGGUCGAUGACGGUACCGGAAGAAUAAGGACCGGCUAACUACGUG
RNAcentral lists this ribosomal RNA (490 nucleotides) under uncultured bacterium. RNAcentral describes it as "partial 16S ribosomal RNA". It matches the Rfam family "Bacterial small subunit ribosomal RNA", at positions 30 to 507 of the family's 1533-position model. The record is from RNAcentral.